AAACCGGAGAGGUCGCGCGUUUGGAGC
This 27-nucleotide small RNA is filed under the name Bombyx mori (domestic silkworm). RNAcentral describes it as "ovarian small RNA-9944". The record is from RNAcentral. Lineage: Eukaryota; Metazoa; Arthropoda; Insecta; Lepidoptera; Bombycidae.